This 775-nucleotide ribosomal RNA is filed under the name uncultured Neocallimastigales. RNAcentral's name for it is "partial large subunit ribosomal RNA". It matches the Rfam family "Eukaryotic large subunit ribosomal RNA", at positions 22 to 645 of the family's 3401-position model. Lineage: Eukaryota; Fungi; Neocallimastigomycota; Neocallimastigomycetes; Neocallimastigales. The record is from RNAcentral.
GUACACGCUGUGACUAGCAUAUCAAUAAGCGGAGGAAAAGAAACUAACAAGGAUUCCCCUAGUAACGGCGAGUGAAGCGGGAAGAGCUCAAAUUUGAAAUCUUAAAGGGUUUCCCUUUACGAAUUGUAGUUUAAAGAAGUGUUUUCUGUUGAGGUUUUGGUAAAAGUUCUUUGGAAUAGGACAUCAUAGAGGGUGAGAAUCCCGUAUUUGACCCUUACUUUCAACUUUGUGAUACACUUUCAAAGAGUCGGAUUGUUUGGGAAUGCAGUCCAAAAUGGGUGGUAAAUUUCAUCUAGAGCUAAAUAUUGGCGAGAGACCGAUAGCGAACAAGUACCGUGAGGGAAAGAUGAAAAGAACUUUGAAAAGAGAGUUAAACAGUACGUGAAAUUGUCAAAAGGGAAGCGUUUGACACCAGUGUUGUUUUUCUGAAAAUCAAUUAAAGAACUGUUUAUGCUAAGUUGUUUAGACUUUAUCAGCUAACUGUUUAGUUUUGAGCUUUUCUUUAAUGCACUUUUCAGUUAACAAGUCAACAUCAAUUUCUUUUGCUGUAAAAAAGCUUGAGGAAGGUGGCUUGAGAUUCGUCUUAAGUGUUUAUAGCCUCUUGCCUAGUGCAGUCGGAGAGAUUGAGGUCUGCAGCGUAGAUCCUUCGGGGCUAAAUGCAUUUGUGCUAAGUUAUAACAUUUUAUAGACAACUUGUUGACUAUGAUUUGUCUUGUAGCUUACUCGCUUAUGUUAUUUUACCUACGCUUAGGAUGUUGAAGUCAUCGUAUCGCGC